This 490-nucleotide ribosomal RNA is filed under the name uncultured bacterium. RNAcentral describes it as "partial 16S ribosomal RNA". It matches the Rfam family "Bacterial small subunit ribosomal RNA", at positions 899 to 1397 of the family's 1533-position model. The record is from RNAcentral.
ACUCAAAUGAAUUGACGGGGACCCGCACAACCGGUGGAGCGUGUGGUUCAAUUCGAGACAAAACGAAGAACCUCACCAAGGUUUGACAUAAUACCGUUUAUUUCCCAAGAAACUGGGAGAAAUCCGCAAGGAUGGUAUUACAGGUGCUGCAUGGCUGUCGUCAGUUCGUGCCGUGAGGUGUUCCCUUAAGUGGGGAAACGAACGCAACCCCUGUCUAAUGUUAAAUAUUCAUUAGAGACGGUCCCGAUUAUAUCGGGAAGGAAGGAAGGGUAGAUGUCAAGUCAGCACGGCCCUUACACCUUGGGCUACACACACACUACAAUGGCGAAUAACAACGAGUUGCAAGUACGUAAGUGCAAGCUAAUCUCUAAAAUUUCGCCCCAGUUCAGAUUGGGGUCUGAAACCCGACCCCAUGAAGUCGGAAUCGGUAGUAAUCGCAGAUCAGCAUGCUGCGGUGAAUACGUUCUCGGGUCUUGUACACACCGCCCGU